This is an RNA transcript of Mauremys reevesii (Reeves's turtle), 1535 nucleotides long. It is a transcript of the gene named arsenite methyltransferase, with no coding region annotated. Lineage: Eukaryota; Metazoa; Chordata; Testudines; Geoemydidae. The record is from RefSeq and is a predicted model, not a curated record. The transcript has 11 exons.
CCUGGAGGGUUCCCUAGCACCGCCCCCUCCGGAAGCGGAAGUCCCGCCUCCCUCGUAGCCCGACCCUGACCCUAUCGCGGGGCGGGGGCAGAGUCCGCUGUCCGUCAGUGCAGCAGCAGUUGCGAGCAUGGCUGCCCCAUCUGGAGAUCAGAUUUACAGAGAGGUGCAGGAUUAUUAUGGUAAAGAGUUGCAGAAAUCAGAGGAUCUGCAAACCAACGCCUGUGUCACCUUGGCUAGGCCUUUGCCCACGUUCAUAAAGGAGGCUCUGAAGUGUGUCCAUGAUGAUGUUGUGUCAAGGUACUAUGGCUGCGGCCUGGUGAUCCCAGAGUGCCUGGAGACCUGUUGGAUAUUGGAUCUGGGGAGUGGGAGUGGCAGGGAUUGCUAUAUGCUGAGUAAACUAGUUGGGGAGAAAGGGCAUGUCACUGGAAUAGACAUGACCGACACCCAGGUAGAAGUGGCAAAGAAGCACAUUGACUAUCACAUGAAGAAAUUUGGCUACCAGGUGCCUAACGUGGACUUCAUCCAUGGCUACAUGGAAAAGCUGGGAGAUGCUGGCCUUAAAGAUGAGAGUUAUGAUAUAGUUAUCUCAAACUGCGUGAUUAACCUCUCGCCUGAUAAGAGAGCAGUCCUGCAGGAGGCCUAUCGAGUGCUAAAGGCUGGUGGAGAGAUGUAUUUCAGCGAUGUCUAUGCCAGCUGUGACCUGCCUGAGGACAUCAGGAAACACAGGGUCCUCUGGGGCGAGUGCCUGGGAGGAGCCCUGUGGUGGAAGGACCUCUACAGAAUUGCUGAGGAAGUUGGAUUCUGCCCACCACGCUUGGUGACCGCCAGCCGAAUAACCAUCAAUAACAAGGAACUGGAGAGUGUCGUCGGUGACUGUCAGUUUGUCUCUGCAACUUUCCGUCUCUUCAAAGUACCCAAGAAAGGCCCGGCCGAGCGGUGCCAGGUUAUUUACAACGGCGGGAUCACCGGGCAUGAGAAAGAGCUGGAAUUUGAUGCCAAUUUCACAUUCAAGAGCUGGCCGUGCGGUGGGUGCUGGGUCCUGCCGCGUUCUUCUCGGCUGUGUGUGACGCCCCCUCUGUUUCCCAGGAAGGGGAGGUUGUGGAAGUGGAUGCAGAAACUGCAGCCAUUUUACGGAGCUCCAGGUUUGCCGAGGAGUUCCUGAUCCGACUGGCUGCAGGGAGGGCACCUGGGGGCUGUUGUCCUGCAAAAGUAAAGGAGAAGAUCGUUGAUCCGUUCCAAUUAGUGGAGCAUCUGGAAGCAAAGGACCUUGCUCCCAAGCCAGCGGGCUGCUGUGGCCCCAAAGGGUGCUGCUGAAAAGCUGAGUAUCUAGCAGCAGGAGCCAGGAGAGCAGAGGCUGAAGAAUCAGAGCUGUUUUUGUUACUCAUCGCUGAACAGCAAUUAAAAAUUAAUAGCGGGGGUAACGAAGCUGAGCAUUUCACGGCUUCACAGCACUGCACAGGUACUGCGGAAUGAGAUGAAAUAAACCCCAGCUGUCACCCGGGUUCCUGCCCUGGUGCAUGGCUGCAAUCAGAAGA